Molecule: small RNA, 269 nt
Filed under: Histoplasma capsulatum
Lineage: Eukaryota; Fungi; Ascomycota; Eurotiomycetes; Onygenales; Ajellomycetaceae
Description: hypothetical RNA
Source: RNAcentral
ACGACGAAGGGGUAGUAUGUACUGUACAUACAUCAUAACAUCAUCGUCACCUAGUUCCACCACUUCAUUAACAACAAUUGACUGAUAUACGCCCUUGCUGCCCGCACCGUCCUUUCUCUCCCUCUCGUUGUUUCCCACAUGUUUAUGUACAACCUCCCUCCAUUUUUGCAGGGAAUAUAUUUUCGUGUUCCGCUGGACAUUCAGUCCGCUUAGUUUCGGAUGUAGGUCAUAGUUGGGCAGUUGUUUUCUUUCCUUCAUCCUGGCUUCCG